GACGAACGCUGGCGGCGUGCUUAACACAUGCAAGUCGAACGAUGAAGCCCAGCUUGCUGGGUGGAUUAGUGGCGAACGGGUGAGUAACACGUGAGCAACGUGCCCGAGACUCUGGAAUAACUACCGGAAACGGUGGCUAAUACCGGAUAUGUGCCAGGGAGGCAUCUCCUCUGGUUGGAAAGAUUUUUCGGUUUCGGAUCGGCUCACGGCCUAUCAGCUUGUUGGUGGGGUAAUGGCCUACCAAGGCGACGACGGGUAGCCGGCCUGAGAGGGUGACCGGCCACACUGGGACUGAGACACGGCCCAGACUCCUACGGGAGGCAGCAGUGGGGAAUAUUGCACAAUGGGCGCAAGCCUGAUGCAGCAACGCCGCGUGAGGGAUGACGGCCUUCGGGUUGUAAACCUCUUUUAGUAGGGAAGAAGCGCAAGUGACGGUACCUGCAGAAAAAGCACCGGCUAACUACGUG
Molecule: ribosomal RNA, 467 nt
Filed under: uncultured bacterium
Lineage: Bacteria
Description: partial 16S ribosomal RNA
Rfam family: Bacterial small subunit ribosomal RNA
Source: RNAcentral